Molecule: ribosomal RNA, 296 nt
Filed under: uncultured bacterium
Lineage: Bacteria
Description: partial 16S ribosomal RNA
Rfam family: Bacterial small subunit ribosomal RNA
Source: RNAcentral
GGAUUAGAUACCCUGGUAGUCCACGCCGUAAACGAUGAGUACUAGCUAUUGGAGGUAUUGACCCCUUCAGUGGCGCAGCUAACGCAUUAAGUACUCCGCCUGGGAAGUACGGUCGCAAGACUAAAACUCAAAGGAAUUGACGGGGGCCCGCACAAGCGGUGGAUUAUGUGGUUUAAUUCGAAGCAACGCGCAGAACCUUACCUAGGCUUGAAAUCCUCAGAAUUCGACGUAAUUGUUGAAGUGCCCGCAAGGGAAUUGAGUGACAGGCGCUGCAUGGCUGUCGUCAGCUCGUGCUG